This 457-nucleotide ribosomal RNA is filed under the name Salmonella enterica. Its description in RNAcentral is "bacterial SSU rRNA". It matches the Rfam family "Bacterial small subunit ribosomal RNA", at positions 1 to 456 of the family's 1533-position model. Lineage: Bacteria; Pseudomonadati; Pseudomonadota; Gammaproteobacteria; Enterobacterales; Enterobacteriaceae. The record is from RNAcentral.
AAAUUGAAGAGUUUGAUCAUGGCUCAGAUUGAACGCUGGCGGCAGGCCUAACACAUGCAAGUCGAACGGUAGCACAGAGAGCUUGCUCUCGGGUGACGAGUGGCGGACGGGUGAGUAAUGUCUGGGAAACUGCCUGAUGGAGGGGGAUAACUACUGGAAACGGUGGCUAAUACCGCAUAACGUCGCAAGACCAAAGAGGGGGACCUUCGGGCCUCUUGCCAUAAGAUGUGCCCAGAUGGGAUUAGCUUGUUGGUGAGGUAACGGCUCACCAAGGCGACGAUCCCUAGCUGGUCUGAGAGGAUGACCAGCCACACUGGAACUGAGACACGGUCCAGACUCCUACGGGAGGCAGCAGUGGGGAAUAUUGCACAAUGGGCGCAAGCCUGAUGCAGCCAUGCCGCGUGUAUGAAGAAGGCCUUCGGGUUGUAAAGUACUUUCAGCGGGGAGGAAGGUGUUG